AUCCCGAUGCAUGAUUCUGCCACCACAUUCCUUCACUGUAGGGAUGGUGCCAGGUUUCCUCCAGACGUGACGCUUGGCACUCAGGUCAAAGAGUUCAAUCUUGGUUUCAUCAGACCAGAGAAUCUUGUUUCCUAUGGUCUGAGAGUCCUUUAGGUGGCUUUUGUAAAACUCCAAGCGGGCUGUUCCUUUUACUGAGGAUUAGCUUCCAUCUGACCUGACCUGAUUGGUGGAGUGCUGCAGAGAUGGUUGUCCAAAUGGAAGGUUUUCCCAUCUCCACAGAGGAACUCUAGACCUCUGUCACAGUGACCAUCGGGUUCUUGGUCACCUCCAUAACCGUGGUCCUUCUCCCCCAAUUGCUCAGUUUGGCCGGACGGCUAGCUCUAGGAAGAGUCUUGGUGGUUCCAAACGUCUUCCAUUUAAGAAUGAUGAUCAGGCGUGCGGGUGCAGGCAGCGAACGGUUGAAAAGCAUGCAUUUGGUUUUACUAGCGUUUAAGAGCAGUUGGAGGCCACGGAAGGAGUGUUGUAUGGCAUUGAAGCUCGUUUGGAGGUUAGAUAGCACAGUGUCCAAGGACGGGCCGGAAGUAUAUAGAAUGGUGUCGUCUGCAUAGAGGUGGAUCAGGGAUGUACAUUUAGGUGGUUUAGACAUAGAUGCUCACAAUUGCAGGACAUUAGAACAUUGAUGUGAAAUGAACAUGAUACAUGAUGUCAUUUUCACUUCCAGACCCUUCCUCAAUGAUCCCCCUCUACAUCGGUCUCCGUGCCGGUAUCUAUGUUCUCAUCCUUCUGGUGGAAUCUCUCCUGUGUUUUCUCUGGUGUAGACACGGUGAUGAAUGAGGAAAUAACAGUAGGAGGAAGAGAACUCAAGUCUGCACUAUGCUAUAAGGAUGUGACCUUGCUGGGGAGUUCAAGUUGGAUAUGGCUGGAGAGUAUGAUGUGUCAAUGUUUUUAUAAACCAGAAGUCAAUAGGAGGAGAAGUUAUUCAAUUUGAACAAUUUGCAAUUUCCAUGCACCUUGUGAAUGUAUUUUUAUACUAUACACAGUGUUUAAUGUGUAAUGUGUUUGUAUAUGUAAAAUAUAGCAAUUUUAUUAGCAUUACAUUUUUUUCUGCUCUAGUAUGUUGUGUUUUUCCAGUGAAAAUAAAGCUUGUACAGUAUAUUGUAAAUAAUUGUUGGAAAUGUUGUUUCUUUUCUCUGGAAGAGAAAUUGUGUUGUUUAGAUUACACAGCUGUUGUGUUUCAACGGUCUGUCUCAUGAUGGUCAUUGAUCUACCUGAGCUUUAGCUGGGUGUUUUGUGUCUGUUUGUCAUGUAGACGUGGCCACAGUGGGGGUACUGCUCAUUGUAAGGUUCUGCUUUACUUUUUUUUAAGUCAACCUUGUGUUCUUUUUCUUUGUGUUCUUGAACGUAGCCCUGUUUCUUUGUGUUCUUGAACGUAGCCCUGUUUCUUUGUGUUCUGGAACGUAGCCCUGUUUCUUUGUGUUCUGGAACGUAGCCCUGUUUCUUUGUGUUCUGGAACGUAGCCCUG
Molecule: long non-coding RNA, 1522 nt
Organism: Oncorhynchus tshawytscha (Chinook salmon)
Lineage: Eukaryota; Metazoa; Chordata; Actinopteri; Salmoniformes; Salmonidae
Source: Ensembl